Molecule: long non-coding RNA, 2124 nt
Organism: Etheostoma cragini (Arkansas darter)
Lineage: Eukaryota; Metazoa; Chordata; Actinopteri; Perciformes; Percidae
Exons: 3
Source: RefSeq, a predicted model, not a curated record
AAUAUUGGCUGGAGGGAUGCACUGCUCCAGAAACAGGUCCUCCUCAUCUUCCUCCAUGUCCAUGGUCUCCGGAGGCCAGCGCAGCUCUCCGCUCUCCACCUCAUUCAACUCUGUGGGUUCCACAACGAUGGAGGGUAGACGCUCCUUAGCAUGGUCGUGGUCCAGGCAGUUCAAAGUGGUCUCUGGGCCCAGGACAACCUCAACAGGGUCAGGGAAGAUCUGGAGGGAAAUGGGGCAGAAAUGUCAUACUGAAACAAAACAGGAGAACCAGGAAAAAGGAUUAUUCCUUGUUACUCCUUAUUCCUGACAUCCUUCCACCAAAAAUAGAAGUUGCCUUCACAGCCAUGCUACACGUCACUGUCAGCUCUCCCUACUCCUGAAGCUUGUGGGUGUACUGGUCAGUGAGGGAGACGUCUACAAUCCUCACCCAAGCAUCUUCAACUGCCCUCCGGAGAGACUUUAUGCCUUCACUGUGCACAUGUUUGUGGACGGGCUCAGUGUGUCAAAUAAAAGAAUGGAGAGACUUUGGCUUCAGUGCAUCACACUAAUCUUCUUAAUAUAUGCAGCCGGUAUCAGAAGCCUAGUGCAGCUGUCCAUAGCAGACAUGGUGUGGGUGAAUGUUUGGGGUCAUGGUUGACAUGAGAUUAUUGCAACAAAAGAUGAUGAAACUGUCUUUGCUGGGUUUCAUUUAUGGCACUAGAGUCAGAUACAGGAGUUUGAAAUUAUGUCGUGGGACUGUGAAUUAAUCAUAAUUCACCGUGUAACAGAUCAUUAACUGGAUUUAAUAAAUUGUUAUAUACUGUAUAUUUAUAUAUAUAGUGUGUGUUUUUUAUCAUAUUUGUAGUUGUGUCUGAUUAUUGUUUUACUUUAAAUUCCGAAAUCAUCUGUUUACAAAGGCAUUUUAAAUUCAAGAGUUUAUAAUUACCAAUUUGGUUUGUGUUAAUGCAUCAAUUUAGAAUGUUCUUGCCAUGUCUUAGCCAUGACAUUUAACAAUUGCAUACGUUUCUGGGCAUGUUUUGUGGCUUAUGACAAGGCUGAAAUGUAUUAGCAUUUUGCUCCUGAAAGCAACUAUGUACAAAAACUGUUUUUUAAAACAAUAUAGAUUAUUAUUGUUCAAGAGUGCCUCUUUUCCCUCAGUCAUGCACAGAACAAAGGUAAGAUUUUUUUUAUUAUGUGUACAAAAAAUGCACAAUAUCUAAUCUGUCAAACACCACUUAUCACUUGUAGUAUUUUCCACCAAUUUUGAGCUCUAAUUUCAGUAGAUUAUAACUCCAAGAGUUGGUUUAAGUGGUAUUUGUACAUGUAUCCUACAAUACUGCAGAAUGCAAAUUUGCAAAUGAAUGAUCUCACAACUUUAUGCUUGUUAUGACUAAAAACCAACAAUACCUGUUUUUGAACACCAGCUUACUUGACAAGAACAUUUUGAAACAUUUGUUGUUAAUAUGGAGAUUGGACAACAUGUAGAGAGGCAGAGGAACUGAUUAUCAGUUUGUUUCUCAAUGCUGCCCUUAAUCACCCAUCUGGCUUAGGUUUACCCACUAAGAAUCUCUGCUAACUACUAAUUAUAUCCUGCCAUUUGAUGUAGAAGUGCAGAUUGAAGAUGAAAAUCAAAAGAAAUUUCUAAAUCCCGUUGAGAAAUUUAAGAUAAAUCGUAAAUCGUGGUUAAUAACAGCAUCUCUAGCUAUGAUUUUUUUUUUUUGCAUACAAAAUCCAGCUAUUUGAAUGUAAUUUUCUAAAUAGCAUCACUAAACUCCACCUUUGCAAACAGGAAGAUUAUAAUUAGUGCAGACAAGCAAAUCUUGUUAUUACUGAGUUAACAAUAAUUUAAAGAAGCAUGAUAACCUCUGUCAGUGCAAAGUGUCUUCUUCCCUAUUAACCAGUUACUCAAUGCCGUACAAAAACCUACAUCACUGGACAGUAUUUAUAUUAUACGUAUCUUCUGUUGUCGUUUCUGCUGCACAAAUUUUGAACUGCAUGUGAUAUUCUGAUGUUGCAACAUCUAUACCAAUGUCACUUCCUUCCUAUCUCAAUGUCAAACCAACCACUAAAAUAUUGUGUUGUUAACUGUUACUUUACAAAUGCACUAAACUGCCGGGAAAACCCUAUGACAAAUGUUUGUCAGGC